CAAAGAUCACAUUCCUUAGAUAUUGUUCCUGCUUUGCCUCUUGGGUUGGGAUGGAAAGGAGAAUUGGUCUGGAUCAAUAUGCGGGCAUGCCAGCAUUAUUUGUAUCGAAAAAAAAUAGAUGGUAAUGGGUUCCGUUGCCUUGACCUUCAAGGAUAUUUGCUAGUGGGCUACUUCCUUCUCGGGGAAGGGAGUGAUAAAUACAAUGCUACACUAAUAACUAUGAACUAAGGACAAAUAAAAUUAAAGAAAGAUAAGUGGAAGAUAAAAUAGAGAUGCUGAUCAUUGAUUCUGCAAAGCCGUUUUCAGAAUUACAAUCUAGCAUUUAGGCAUCUCCUCAUUUACCAUCAAACAGUUCCAUCUCUAGCAUUGAUACCUAUCAUUUCCAGUUAUUAUCACCUCUUCCACUUUCUCCUGCUGGUUGCUGCAGCUAGUUCUAACCAUUUGUCUCCACUUUCCACGUCCUAGUCUCUCGGUAACUGUCUCCACUUCACACUGCAUCAGGCCAAUGUCUUAGUAUAGAACAUGAUCAGCCUUUAAAUCAAUACUUAGCCUCUCAGGUAAGCUAUACUAGAAAUUGGC
This 579-nucleotide long non-coding RNA is filed under the name Phoenix dactylifera (date palm). RNAcentral's name for it is "long non-coding RNA (PDAC_LNC002501)". Lineage: Eukaryota; Viridiplantae; Streptophyta; Magnoliopsida; Arecales; Arecaceae. The record is from RNAcentral.